CUGCAUUUUAGCCAGUGUACCUGGGCACAGACUCGGGGCUGCCCUGAAGCUGAUGAAGGCUUGAAGGACGGAAGGGCUGAGCCACAUGAAGGCAGCACUCAGGGCCAGGGGAGAGAGAAGAGGAUCAGCAGUGCAGCCCCAGGAUGCCUCGCAGCUCUCGGAAGAACUGGUUGUUAAAGAGCACCUCUGCCUUCUUCCUCUGUUGCCAUGUGAUCUCUGCACACGCUAGCUCUCCUUCGCCUUCUGCCAUGCUGGAAGUAGCCUGAGGCCCUCACCAGAAGCAGACGCUGGCACCGUGCUGCUUGUACAGCCUGCAGAGCCGUGAGCCAAGUAAACCUCUUUAAUUACCCAGCCUCAGGGCCAGACCCGAGGGUUUCUGAGCCGUGACUCUGGCUAAGCCCUUCACUGCUCUGGGCUGCAAAAGGAGGAUCACAGCACCUCCCGUGGGUGGGCAGGAUUACUUAAGAUGACGCAGGACAGCGCCCAGAGCAGCUUGGUGCUCCGGGAACGCCUUCCGCGGAAUGAAGCGGCCCAUGCCCUUGUUGACGUUGAUGUUUCCGUCUUCAAAGACGAUCUUGCCCUGGCUGAUGACCACUAGUGGGGAGCCGUGGCACUCCAUACCCUCGAAGAUGUUGUACUCCACCGCCUGCACCAACAGCCUCAGUGUUACUUCCCAGGAUUUGCUCUGCCCCAAACGAGCUGUUCAUAACAGCGAUUUUGCCUAACAUUAUAUCAUAAGCGUGUUCCAAUGUUUUUUUUUCUCUCUAAAAAUACCUUUUAUUGACUGUAAUAUUCCACUGUAUGGUCCACAGUGUAUAUAACCAACAACUCACCGUUGCGCAUGUAGGCUGCCGGUGGCUUUCUAUAAUCAAAUCAAUAUUGUUCUGGGGCAUCACAAAGAGGAAGGGGGUCCCCCGGGGUUAUGCAAUGUGGCUGCUUUGACUGUACUGGACAUAAAAAUAAGUAAAAUGUUCUUCAUUUUACUUAAAAUGUGUCUUUAAAUAAAAUUUUUUU
This 1014-nucleotide long non-coding RNA is filed under the name Homo sapiens (human). RNAcentral describes it as "HSALNT0068575". The record is from RNAcentral. Lineage: Eukaryota; Metazoa; Chordata; Mammalia; Primates; Hominidae.